GUCGCGGUGGCGGAACUGGAAUACGCGUGCGUCUCAGAAGCGCAUCCCGCAAGGGUUGAGGGUUCGACUCCCUCCCGCGGCACAA
Molecule: transfer RNA, 85 nt
Filed under: Candidatus Staskawiczbacteria bacterium RIFOXYB1_FULL_37_44
Lineage: Bacteria; Candidatus Staskawicziibacteriota
Also listed under: 4 other names
Description: tRNA-Leu
Rfam family: tRNA
About the family: Transfer RNA (tRNA) molecules are approximately 80 nucleotides in length. Their secondary structure includes four short double-helical elements and three loops (D, anti-codon, and T loops). Further hydrogen bonds mediate the characteristic L-shaped molecular structure. tRNAs have two regions of fundamental functional importance: the anti-codon, which is responsible for specific mRNA codon recognition, and the 3' end, to which the tRNAs corresponding amino acid is attached (by aminoacyl-tRNA synthetases). tRNAs cope with the degeneracy of the genetic code in two manners: having more than one tRNA (with a specific anti-codon) for a particular amino acid; and 'wobble' base-pairing, i.e. permitting non-standard base-pairing at the 3rd anti-codon position.
Source: RNAcentral